This 492-nucleotide ribosomal RNA is filed under the name uncultured bacterium. RNAcentral describes it as "partial 16S ribosomal RNA". It matches the Rfam family "Bacterial small subunit ribosomal RNA", at positions 29 to 507 of the family's 1533-position model. The record is from RNAcentral.
AGUGAACGCUGGCGGUAGGCCUAACACAUGCAAGUCGAACGGCAGCACAGUAAGAGCUUGCUCUUACGGGUGGCGAGUGGCGGACGGGUGAGGAAUACAUCGGAAUCUACUUUUUCGUGGGGGAUAACGUAGGGAAACUUACGCUAAUACCGCAUACGACCUACGGGUGAAAGCAGGGGAUCUUCGGACCUUGCGCGAUUGAAUGAGCCGAUGUCGGAUUAGCUAGUUGGCGGGGUAAAGGCCCACCAAGGCGACGAUCCGUAGCUGGUCUGAGAGGAUGAUCAGCCACACUGGAACUGAGACACGGUCCAGACUCCUACGGGAGGCAGCAGUGGGGAAUAUGGGACAAUGGGCGCAAGCCUGAUCCAGCCAUACCGCGUGUGUGAAGAAGGCCUUCGGGUUGGAAAGCCCUUUUGUUGGUAAAGAAAAGCAGCAGGUUAAUACCCCGCUGUUCUGACGGUACCCAAAGAAUAAGCACCGGCUAACUUCGUG